CCCCUUAGGUUAAAAUAGCUUAUUAUUUAUAUGCUUAGAAGGAGCAAUCACGUGACACCAAUAAAAGGAAUCCAGCCAGUAGCAUCUUGACACAUCAUCAAAUAAAAAAAAUAAAAAGCUGUAGCACCCAUGUAUAUUAAAGAAAGGCUGGUCACGUGUGCUGAUGCAUGCUGACGUCAUGUGCGUUGUAAGCCAAAAUCGUGCCGCGAUCGGAAUAGCACAGGGACGCGAAAAUUACAGGAGCUGAAGGCGUGUCAAUGUUUAAAACUUUGGAAAUUUUCUAAGUGUUUUUCCUUUUUUUUCUUCUUUUGUCUUCAA
Molecule: long non-coding RNA, 318 nt
Filed under: Trifolium pratense (red clover)
Lineage: Eukaryota; Viridiplantae; Streptophyta; Magnoliopsida; Fabales; Fabaceae
Description: long non-coding RNA (TPRA_LNC010946)
Source: RNAcentral